GUGUCAGCCGCCGCGGUAAUACGGAGGGUGCAAGCGUUGUUCGGAAUUAUUGGGCGUAAAGGGCGUGUAGGCGGUUUGGUAAGUCAGAUGUGAAAGCCCUGGGCUUAACCCAGGAAGUGCAUUUGAAACUACCAGACUUGAGUAUGGGAGAGGAGAGUGGAAUUCCCAGUGUAGAGGUGAAAUUCGUAGAUAUUGGGAGGAACAUCCGUGGCGAAGGCGACUCUCUGGACCAAUACUGACGCUGAGACGCGAAAGCGUGGGGAGCAAACAGGAUUAGAAACCCCGGUAGUCC
RNAcentral lists this ribosomal RNA (292 nucleotides) under uncultured bacterium. RNAcentral's name for it is "partial 16S ribosomal RNA". It matches the Rfam family "Bacterial small subunit ribosomal RNA", at positions 505 to 796 of the family's 1533-position model. The record is from RNAcentral.